RNAcentral lists this ribosomal RNA (429 nucleotides) under Bacteroidota bacterium. RNAcentral's name for it is "Bacteroidetes bacterium partial 16S ribosomal RNA". It matches the Rfam family "Bacterial small subunit ribosomal RNA", at positions 355 to 776 of the family's 1533-position model. The record is from RNAcentral. Lineage: Bacteria; Pseudomonadati; Bacteroidota.
UAGGGAAUCUUCCGCAAUGGACGCAAGUCUGACGGAGCAACGCCGCGUGAGUGAAGAAGGAUUUCGGUUCGUAAAACUCUGUUGUUAGAGAAGAACAGCGCAUAGAGUAACUGUUAUGCGUGUGACGGUAUCUAACCAGAAAGCCACGGCUAACUACGUGCCAGCAGCCGCGGUAAUACGUAGGUGGCAAGCGUUGUCCGGAUUUAUUGGGCGUAAAGCGAGCGCAGGCGGUCAAUUAAGUCUGAUGUGAAAGCCCCCGGCUCAACCGGGGAGGGUCAUUGGAAACUGGUUGACUUGAGGGCAGAAGAGGAGAGUGGAAUUCCAUGUGUAGCGGUGAAAUGCGUAGAUAUAUGGAGGAACACCAGUGGCGAAGGCGACUCUCUGGUAUGUAACUGAAGCUGAGGUUCGAAAGCGUGGGUAGCAAACAGG